GGCUCCUCGUUGUCUCCUCGAAUGGAAUUCCUGGGAAUUCCAGGCCCCAUAGAUUGUUAUCAGAGCCAAAGACCCUCAGCCAGAGGAUUGUGUUCCGACCAAGCAAGUCACACUGUUCUGGAUAUUGAUGAAUCACUUUCAAUUUGCAGUCCUUGAACAACUACCAGGACAGAACACGAGGAAUCAAUCCGGCACACGAUGGAGGAUUUGUGAGCAGUAAUUAAAGAUUGACUUCUUGAAGAACAGAAGGGCUCAAGACUGAGAACCACAGAACAUAUUCAAAGAAAUCAAUAGAAUAUUUGUUUUGACCCAAUAUCGUGUUUGUAAUGAUGUAUUGAUAUGGAAAGUAUGACUCCCAACCACUAGGUGGAGGCACCUGCGGUGCAUAAACAGAGCAUCUAGGAUCGGGUGAGAGAAAGACUACGAGAAUGCUAUUACAUGUUUAUUACAUGUUCACCUAUUUACCG
Long non-coding RNA from Gasterosteus aculeatus aculeatus (three-spined stickleback), 467 nucleotides. The record is from Ensembl. Lineage: Eukaryota; Metazoa; Chordata; Actinopteri; Perciformes; Gasterosteidae.